GCUGCUGGGUGCUGGCUGCCACUUCUAGCGAUAUUUCCCUUUUUAGGUUGUUAAGAAAAGAAACUUAAGACUGCUUUGCUCUUCUUAUGAAUGUCGUAUGAAACUUAUGUUUGUUACUUAGACUAUGUUAAGUAGAGAGGAAACAAACAAACUGCCAUUUUAUUAUUUAAGAUUGAAUUCUGUUGGGUUGGGAUUGGGGCAAAAGUGCAUCAACACAUUUUUGAGAAAUCAGCAAGUUUUUGUGUUGGAUCUUGGAUGUUAAUGAGGAAAUUGAUGGCUCAUAAUUGCAACUAUUACCUCAAAUGCCCAAUAACUGACAGAAUCAAUUUGAUUCUAUUCACAUCCGCUGCUUCAAAAAAUGUGUAUAUCGUUAGUAAGGACCAAUAAAUGUAGAAUGCAUCACAUGUUGUUCAUUGUUACAUCACCAUGUACGCAAAUAUUAAAAAACAGGACACUCAACCCAAGCCAACUCGACAAGUUUUAUUUCAUCUCAAAAGAGUCUGAAUAUUGCUCAAAUUUAUGAUAUAUUGGUGAAUAUAUAUAUGACUCAAACUCAAACGUCAACCUGCAAAAGGAAAGGCCAGUUUGCAUGGCCUCGACGCUCGAAGGUCACGGAGAUCAUUACGUAAAACGUGUCAUGCAGCGGUGUAGAGGUUGGGUGAGAACGGGACGUACUAUCAAGCAGGUAAAAUAGCCGCAAGGCUCAGGAGGUGAGGGUGAGAAAAAAAGGCGAAGGAAAAUUAGUCGAGGAGCAUCUCCGACACGGUAACAACUGCUGUACAGUAUUGGUCACCAACUUCCUUCAUCGCAUUGCCACUUCGCCAUUAUGGUUUGCUAUGGCGUCGUGCUGCUGUUGGGUGUUGUAUCGUUGAUGGCUGGGUCGACGAUGUUUCCAGGAUAUGGUGGAUACCAAACCGCAACGCCGCCGCCUUACGUCCCGAAGUAUAACUCUGCUUAGAGCUGCAUCACUAAAGAGCCAAAGUACUGCACCGAGGCUCCCAAUUACUACACCACUAAGGCAUAGGAACGACUACGUAUGCUGCCCAUGUCAACUACACCGAAGCGCCUAAGUACUACACUACAACCUACGCUACCCCGAGCUGCUACACCGUCGCCCCGAAGUAAUACUCUGCGUAAAAGAAUUCGUAUAAAAGGAGUGAGAAAAGGUGGUCGAAAUCAAUCGAGUGACGAUCUCCGACACGGAAACAAUUGCAGUGCACUAUCUGUCAUCAAUUACAUUCCUCAUCGUGUAACCAGUUCGUAAUUAUGGUUAACUAUAGCUUCGUGCUGCUGUUGGGUGUUGUAACGUUGUUGGCUGGGACGAACACUGGUGUACCGACGUUUCCAGGAUAUGGCGGAUACCAAACCGCAGUGCCGCCACCUUACUAGACAACUUACGAGUUGGUAACUGCUGCAACGACCAGUUGCGACCGAGGCCCCCAAGUUCUACACCAUUAAGGCACCGGAGUUUUAUACCACAACUAACGCUGCCCCGAGCUACUACACCGACGCCCCGAAGUAUUAAUACUCUGCCGCGACUUUUCAGUCAGAUUUUCAGAGCCUGAUUGAAGUGAUUGACGAAUUUGACGAAUGUGACUCCAUUUCCCGCCAUAAACUGGAGUUCUACUGUCGGGCACUGGAGUUCUAUACUUCUAUUGUCGGGUAUUGUUAAUAACAUUUGGAGGAAUCUUUUGGCUCCGUCAGUAGGUGGCUAAAAUCAAGUUGUCCCCCAGCCGCCAGAUGACGCGAGUGUCUUUGAGAGGACGAAAUUUUCGCCAUUUUGUUCCGAAACGCCAAGUGAAAAGGUAUUCCAAAUUCGUUACGGAAUUGCGGUGUCGAUCUACAUUUUCAGCAUUUAAAUUUAAUGGCAAUCCGGCAUAUAAUUUCCAAUUGGCCAAAUAAUCGAUCACGUGGACUGAAACUGCUUUCCAUUUUGCCGAAAUGUCGACUGUCGUCGGUUGUUAGCUGUACCUGUUCAAGUGCACGUCUCAUCUCACGCAGAAACACUACAGAGUUGGUGUUCAGGUUGGAGAUCCCGUUGCUCAACUGUUGCAGAAUGUGAGAACUCAACAAAUUCUUAGCUCCAUGGCUGGCAUCAUGGCCAUAGUGGUUUUGUUGCAGCCAGCUGGUGAAAGGUGUGAUCGAGUCAAGUUGAGCUGCAGCUGCUGCAUGCAUUUUAUUGAGCUGGUGUUAUCCUGUGAAGUGUCAUUGCAGGAAGACUUUUUGAAAUGGACUUGGUGAUACUUAAAGCUAUGCCUAUGCUGUUCAAUGUACAGUGGUUUUGCAGCUUGUUUCCAGUUGAGAGAUGUCAUUAUGCAGCUGAUACAGGAUUGAAGAAAAAGAACUGAAGUAGCUGUGCUGGAGUUCUCCUGAAGUUGCUGUGCCACAGGAGUUGCAAAUAGUGUUUGGUUCUUCAUAUAAGUUUAUUUAAAGAGUAAGGAGAUGAUCAUCCACUUCUGACUAUAAUUUAUGUAAAACUUUAAAGUUGUAAGAAAUAUACCAGUCAAGUGCUAAA
Daphnia pulex (common water flea) is the source of this 2515-nucleotide RNA transcript. RefSeq lists it as uncharacterized. The transcript has 9 exons. The record is from RefSeq and is a predicted model, not a curated record. Lineage: Eukaryota; Metazoa; Arthropoda; Branchiopoda; Diplostraca; Daphniidae.